RNAcentral lists this ribosomal RNA (237 nucleotides) under uncultured bacterium. Its description in RNAcentral is "partial 16S ribosomal RNA". It matches the Rfam family "Bacterial small subunit ribosomal RNA", at positions 100 to 334 of the family's 1533-position model. The record is from RNAcentral.
CGGGACGGGUGGGUAACGCGUGGGUAACCGUGCCUCAUACAGGGGAGUAACAGUUGGAAACGACUGCUAAUACCGCAUAAGCGCACAGGAUCGCAUGAUCCGGUGUGAAAAACUCCGGUGGUAUGAGAUGGACCCGCGUCUGAUUAGCCAGUUGGCAGGGUAACGGCCUACCAAAGCGACGAUCAGUAGCCGACCUGAGAGGGUGACCGGCCACAUUGGGACUGAGACACGGCCCAA